RNAcentral lists this long non-coding RNA (990 nucleotides) under Equus asinus (donkey). RNAcentral describes it as "lncRNA (ENSEASG00005033495.1)". Lineage: Eukaryota; Metazoa; Chordata; Mammalia; Perissodactyla; Equidae. The record is from RNAcentral.
GUAACAUCCGUGCCCACCUUCCUCUACUUCAUAUGUGGGACGCCUGCCACAGCAUGGCCUGCCAAGUGGUGCCAUGUCAGCACCCAGGAUCUGAACUGGCGAACCCCAGGCUGCCAAAGCGGAAUGUGCACACUUAAUCACUGCGCCACCAGGCCAGCCCCUCACUUCAUCUUUCUGAAUCCUGAUUUACUAGCUAUGAUCCUGGGGUCUCCAUCCCAGGAGGAGUUCCAAAGGGGGAUCUGCAUGUUUUCGUCAUUCUUGGUAUUUGCUAGACAGGAACAUCGCGCACGUUUUGACCUCUCCGAGCUUCAGUUUCCUCCUUUGCAAAGUCGGAAUGAUAACAGCUACCUUGCAGGAUUGUGACAGACCUUCCCUUGAGAAUUAGAAAUGUUGGACAACACGUAAAACCAUCAGUGUGAAGACAGUGGGGAAUGGUGAAGCCUGAAAGGGCGUUGGGAAAUCACGAUUCCUCGAAGAAGUUGCCACUGGACAAAUUCAGGAAGCUCCUCGAGUCUUCUAGGCUCUGUCUGUCUCCCAGGUCCUCAAACUUACCAUGGACGUGAAGUCACCACUCCAUCAAAAAGCUCCACAGGCUGCUUCAGCCCCCCUCGAGGUGAGCGCUCAUCUCCAGCCUGGGCUCCAUCGCUCCUGGUGUAGUGUGAGCUGCUGCAGCUGUGACGCCAGGCCCAGCGCAUCCAUCAAGGAUCUGAUUUGUCUCACCAGCUCUGGAGUUGGAUGAAGCAUGUGCUGCAAGGUUUGGGAUUUUGUUUCCCCAGUGGGUCUGAAGAGGCCAGUUGAAAAAUUUGGAAAUGCAUGGAAGUUAAUGUCUUGUGGGGUAAAUUUCGAUCAAUGAAAGUUGUCGUUCAAUGGAGGGAGCUGUUAAAUAAAUUCCUCUCUCUUUCUCCCUCUACCGGACUGUUCAAAGGGUGUUUCUGUACAGUGAGCUGCGUCUCUUCAGGAAGCUGGCUGUCUGCAGUAAUAUGCCAGUUU